This 554-nucleotide ribosomal RNA is filed under the name Trachysalambria malaiana. RNAcentral's name for it is "partial 12S ribosomal RNA". The stretch from base 192 to 554 matches the Rfam family "Microsporidia small subunit ribosomal RNA", at positions 752 to 1205 of the family's 1311-position model. The record is from RNAcentral. Lineage: Eukaryota; Metazoa; Arthropoda; Malacostraca; Decapoda; Penaeidae.
GAUGAUUGGUUAAAAAUACUUAAGUGUUAUGUUUAUGAGGGUGGAAUUAUGUUUUGUGUUAAUAAAGGGUGAAAUCAAUUUUUUGUUGUAUAAACAAUUCUGUUUUGUUUAAAUAAAGCUGAAGUUAUUAAGAUUAAGGUAUGGACCAGGAUUAGAGACCCUGUUACACUUUUUUAAAAAUUUAAAUACCUAGGUAGUAAACAGUUAUAAUCUUGAAACUUAAAGGAUUUGGCGGUAAUUUAGUCUAGUUAGAGGAACCUGUCCUGUAAUCGAUAAACCACGAAAAAUCUUACUUUGUUUUGAAAAUUCAGUUUAUAUACCGUCAUUAUUAGAUAACUUUAGUAAAAUGUGGAAGUUAUUGGAAUAGCUUAAGAGCUAGUAUAUUAGAUCAAGGUGUAGCUAAUAAUAAAGUAGAGAUGGGUUACAAUAAUAUUAGUUUAUAGAACGGAUUUAAAGGAGAAUGUCUUUUAAUGAAGGAGGAUUUAAAUGUAAAUAUAUUUUAAUAUGAUAUUUUGAUUGUAGCUCUAGGUUAUGUACACAUCGCCCGUCGCUCU